GAUGAAGAACGCAGCGAAAUGCGAUAAGUAAUGUGAAUUGCAGAAUUUAGUGAAUCAUCGAAUCUUUGAACGCACAUUGCGCCCUCUGGUAUUCCGGGGGGCAUGCCUGUUCGAGCGUCAUUGCAACCCCUCAAGCGCGGCUUGUGUGUUGGGCCACCGUCCCACUCUGUGGACGGGCCUCAAAGGCAGUGGCAGCAUCGAGAUCUUGGUGUCUGAGUGUAUGGGCAUCCAUCACCGCUCUGUGACCCAAUUGAUGCUGGUCGUGAAACUGAAAUUCAUCCAGUUUGACCUCGGAUCAGGUAGGAAUACCCGCUGAACUUAAGAAUAUCAAUAAGCGGAGGA
RNAcentral lists this unclassified non-coding RNA (342 nucleotides) under soil metagenome. RNAcentral describes it as "partial contains 5.8S ribosomal RNA, internal transcribed spacer 2, and large subunit ribosomal RNA". The stretch from base 1 to 120 matches the Rfam family "5.8S ribosomal RNA", at positions 35 to 154 of the family's 154-position model. The record is from RNAcentral.